This 700-nucleotide ribosomal RNA is filed under the name uncultured bacterium. Its description in RNAcentral is "bacterial SSU rRNA". It matches the Rfam family "Bacterial small subunit ribosomal RNA", at positions 53 to 745 of the family's 1533-position model. The record is from RNAcentral.
ACAUGCAAGUCGAACGGCAGCGGGGGCUUCGGCCUGCCGGCGAGUGGCGAACGGGUGAGUAAUGCAUCGGAACGUGCCCAUGUCGUGGGGGAUAACGUAUCGAAAGGUACGCUAAUACCGCAUACGCCCUGAGGGGGAAAGCGGGGGAUUCUUCGGAACCUCGCGCGAUUGGAGCGGCCGAUGUCGGAUUAGCUAGUAGGUGAGGUAAAGGCUCACCUAGGCGACGAUCCGUAGCGGGUCUGAGAGGAUGAUCCGCCACACUGGGACUGAGACACGGCCCAGACUCCUACGGGAGGCAGCAGUGGGGAAUUUUGGACAAUGGGCGCAAGCCUGAUCCAGCCAUGCCGCGUGAGUGAAGAAGGCCUUCGGGUUGUAAAGCUCUUUCGGCCGGGAAGAAAUCGUGGUCUCUAACAUAGGCCAUGGAUGACGGUACCGGACUAAGAAGCACCGGCUAACUACGUGCCAGCAGCCGCGGUAAUACGUAGGGUGCGAGCGUUAAUCGGAAUUACUGGGCGUAAAGCGUGCGCAGGCGGUUUUGUAAGACAGAUGUGAAAUCCCCGGGCUUAACCUGGGAACUGCGUUUGUGACUGCAAGGCUAGAGUACGGCAGAGGGGGGUGGAAUUCCUGGUGUAGCAGUGAAAUGCGUAGAUAUCAGGAGGAACACCGAUGGCGAAGGCAGCCCCCUGGGCCUGUACUGACG